Molecule: non-coding RNA, 986 nt
Organism: Phasianus colchicus (ring-necked pheasant)
Lineage: Eukaryota; Metazoa; Chordata; Aves; Galliformes; Phasianidae
Source: RefSeq, a predicted model, not a curated record
GCCCGCCGGGCCGGUGCUCCCCCCACGUGCUGUGGCAGCGCCGCGCCGGUCCUGCGCGGCUCGGUUCCGCAUCGCCGCAACAACCGCAGGGCGUGGAGGCAGCUGGAAGAAGUAGUGCUUCGUGCUCGGAUUUCACAUCCGUUGCUUUGGAAGUUGCUCAGUGUGGCCUUACGAGCAAUGGAAAUUUGCCAAAUUGGGGAACAACAGCUCAAAGUCAGCCAGAAGUCACCGUGAUGGAGCAGGUAAUAGAAGAGUGGGGAUAAAGUAAGUGGGUGUACGACCACCCUAAAAUCAACCACAUGUGCCUGAGGGGACAUCAGAAUGUAUUGAAUUCUUGGAAAGGAAUGAAUGUAUAUGCCAUGUAGUGCACGUGUGUGUCUUAAAUGCAGAACCUGAACGCCAUGAGCGUGCACUUGAGCGUCACCCAUUGCAUAUUGUGAGGAAUAAAGGAAUGCCUCUUUCUGAUGCCGCAUUGCAGUGAAAGAGUUUUCUUCCCGGAUUUCGGAUGAUACAACAAUGCCCAAAGCCACCAAGGUAGCUGUGCGCUCAGCCCGGCUGCGGGCAGGAGAUUGCAGUGGAAACCUCCCCACAUUCCUUCCAACCUCGCCCCACUGAGAGCCCGCAGGCUGUGGCACACAAACAGCGCCUUCACUUUCUUCCUCCCCUUCAUCAGGGCCACAUUUUGAGCCAUGUUUCAGGACCCAGCCAGAGCCAGGGGUGGACUCUGAUCCCAUGGAAUGUCACUGGUGGAAAUGAGAAGAUGGAGAUGUCCUCAUCCAUGCUGAAGAACGUCACUGGCCCAAUUCCUAGUACAGAGACCCACCUGGGAGUACAAGGCAAGGAGUGUGCACUGUGGAGAUGUGAGUGCCUCGAUCUGCCCUGCCCACUGCCCCACAGCACACAUGCCCACCUCUGGCCAAACCCAAUCUCCUCUUUUCUCCUCACAUCUUCUGAAAAGAACCCCAUGGUUCUUGGCCCCUUACUUU